UGAGAACUUCUGCGUGCCUCCUUUAUCCUGACAGAUUCUCAAUAAUUAGGGACUUUUCUGACGAGUUCAGUGGUAAUAUCAAUGAAUUCUUUUCAUAUUGUAAAAUAAAAUGUACCAAUAUUUAGAAGAUGGGUAUAACUCAAAGAAUCAAUAUUUUCCAAAUAACCAGUGCAGGAUGUUAUAAAAUCAUACAUGGAUAAAAGAUCCAUCCAAAGUAUUAGAUCCAUCAAUGAAUUUUAAGGUACUGGGGAAACAAAGCAAAACAGACAAAUUGCGGUGCUCAGGUUCUGCCAAGGGCAGCAGACAGUGAACCACAUGAAGAAGCCUCCAACUAAUGGACUACCAUAGAUCCAAUGCCUCAGAUGCAGAUAACACUCUGGGAAGGCAGACACCACCUCUCUCCUGCACUCUGCCAUUCUCCAGGAUUGGGAAGGAUUCUGGGCACACAGUGUGGAAUAAACUGGUUCUGCAAAUGUGCCUCCACAUCCAUCUGCCUCGUAUUUAUUGAACAUAAUAAUCAAGAGUGUACUACCAUCUAUGCUUCCCUCUCUGCAGUGGCCCUCUUCCGACAAGCAAUGGGAGGUGGAAUGUGAGCUGGGCCUGG
Molecule: long non-coding RNA, 604 nt
Filed under: Homo sapiens (human)
Lineage: Eukaryota; Metazoa; Chordata; Mammalia; Primates; Hominidae
Description: HSALNT0360591
Source: RNAcentral